Molecule: transfer RNA, 111 nt
Filed under: Coniochaeta sp. 2T2.1
Lineage: Eukaryota; Fungi; Ascomycota; Sordariomycetes; Coniochaetales; Coniochaetaceae
Rfam family: tRNA
About the family: Transfer RNA (tRNA) molecules are approximately 80 nucleotides in length. Their secondary structure includes four short double-helical elements and three loops (D, anti-codon, and T loops).
Source: Rfam by way of RNAcentral
GGUUAGAUGGCCGAGCGGUCUAAGGCGCCACGUUAAGGUUAUCUUCAAACCCUUAAAACAUCUUGUUCUCCGUGGUCCGAAAGGGCGUGGGUUCGAAUCCCACUCUAAUCA